Molecule: unclassified non-coding RNA, 2189 nt
Filed under: Hevea brasiliensis (rubber tree)
Lineage: Eukaryota; Viridiplantae; Streptophyta; Magnoliopsida; Malpighiales; Euphorbiaceae
Source: RNAcentral
GUCACUGUCAACCACUCCACAGUACCCUAAUUAAUAACUAACAAAAUUAACGAUUAUCCGAAACCCCUUAAAAUACUAAUCGGAACUAUACCAUAUGAGAGACCGCGUUUCCUCGAAAUCUUCACAUAGAGCGGCCCGGCUGGAGUCUGAGUCUUCGCAGCUACGGUGUCGUUUUGUUUGUUUCCUUAGCUGAUGGGCGAUGAGAAAUCUACGAUCGUGAUGGCGAGUAGGGACCGUGAAAGAGAUCGAGAGCUUCUCAUCCCCGUCGCCGACUCUGCACACGAUGAUGUCGCCCCCAAACCUUCUUCGUCUUCCUCGUCGUCACAUCAUUCGGGACGUGAGGUGAAGAAAUCUAUUCGCUCUAUGCCCCCUCCCCUUUUUUUAGGGUUUUGAAUUUUUGGUAUCUCUUGCCAAUCAUUUCUGAUUGAUCUUACCAUUUUGACUCUAGACUAGAGCUUGAUGCUGUUUAAAAUUGAUAAUUUGCUUGUGUUUUGUAAAAGAUUUCGUUGAACUGAGUAGCUUUUUCAGGAAUUGACGUCCCAUUUUUCAUUGCCUGCACUGAAAUUGAUUAGAAAAUUACCAUUGAUUGUUUGGCUUCAAAGCUAUUUAAAGUUGUUUAAUGCAAUUUGAGAUGUUUUAUGAAAUCUAAAUUCUUUGAAUAAAAAAAUGUUUGCGGCAGCUAUUGGAACUGGAAGAUUGCUUGAUACCACAUUCUGAAUUUGCGUAAUAUCAUUUUUAGUUGGAACUCCAUACUUAAGUUUAGUUUUUAUUACGUCUUAAAACUAUAAACUUCCGCGAAUUAAUGAUUCUUAAGUGAUGCUACCAGAAAAUGCUAUCUCACUGGAUUUCAGAUUCCUUUAUGUUUCCAUAAAUUACAUUAUCUAUUGUUUUGGCGCUGAAAGUUUGAAAUCCCUUGAGCAGAAGUUUUAUUUUUUUGUAAAUGCCAAGUUCCAAAUUGAAGCAAAGGCAAGAAGUAUUCUUCAUGUCUGCGUGCUUUUGAAUGCCUAUUCUGGCUUUUGUAAUCUGACAUUUGCUGUAUGAUAUUUUGUGUCUGUAGACGUUUUACAAAGUUGUUAGGAGCUGGGCUUCAAAAAAGUUCAUGACUGGAUGUGUAAUCCUAUUCCCCAUUGCUAUCACUUUCUACAUAACAUGGUGGUUUAUUCAUUUUGUUGAUGGAUUUUUCUCUCCAAUCUAUGCCCAACUUGGUAUUGAUAUAUUUGGUCUUGGAUUCAUAACUUCCAUAACAUUCAUUUUCUUGGUUGGGGUAUUCAUGUCAUCUUGGUUGGGAGCAUCUGUCUUGGGUCUCGGUGAGUGGUUUAUUAAACGGAUGCCGUUUGUUCGCCAUAUUUAUAAUGCUUCGAAGCAAAUAAGUGCUGCCAUAUCACCAGAUCAAAACACACAGGCAUUCAAGGAAGUAGCCAUCAUCAGGCAUCCACGCAUUGGUGAAUACGCAUUUGGGUUCAUAACUUCGACUGUCGUCCUCCAGAACUAUUCUGGGGAAGAGGAGCUAUGCUGUGUCUAUGUUCCUACUAAUCAUCUGUAUAUUGGUGAUAUAUUCCUGGUCAAUGCCAAAGAUGUUAUCAGACCCAAUCUCUCAGUCCGGGAAGGCAUUGAAAUUGUAGUGUCUGGGGGAAUGUCGAUGCCUCAAAUCCUUUCAACGUUGGAUUCACGCAUUCCAUUGGACAGAAGUAGAUCCGACCUAAGCUGAGUUGAAGGCAAUAUCUGUAGAGGAGUCGAUUUAUUGUUUCCAUUGGUUUCAGAUUAAGUCAUCAGAACAGCCACAAUAGAAUCAUUGGAAUGGCUGCAUUGAGAUUGGUGAGGGUAAUAUUGGAUUUGAGUUGAGAUCAAAAGUUUUGGACGGUUGAUGGAUCAAAUUCUGGUGGCUUAUGUCACAUUGGUUAUUGUUUAGAAUGUAGAUUUUAGUGUUUGCUUGGAAAUAUAGUCUGGUGGAUAACACUGGCAGAUAGGCUUGUUCGUUUUGGGUCCCCAAUUUAUUUUCCCACAUUAUUAGCAUGGUUUUGGCUCUGGGCUCUGAAUUUGUACUUCACAGAUGAUUCCAACUCUCAAAGUUUGCCUUGUAGAUAAGACUUCAUAUAUUUCAAGUUCAAUGGCGUCUCAUAUGAUUUUUGUCUAAAUUUUGAAGUGUGAAAUUUGGAACUAAAAGAUUUUUACAUUGUCAAAACAAUCGG